This 502-nucleotide ribosomal RNA is filed under the name Vermamoeba vermiformis. RNAcentral's name for it is "SSU rRNA". It matches the Rfam family "Eukaryotic small subunit ribosomal RNA", at positions 1215 to 1719 of the family's 1831-position model. Lineage: Eukaryota; Tubulinea; Echinamoebida; Vermamoebidae. The record is from RNAcentral.
UUACGAGGUCAGGACACUGUGAGGAUUGACAGAUUGAAAGCUCUUUCUUGAUUCAGUGGGUGGUGGUGCAUGGCCGUUCUUAGUUGGUGGAGUGAUUUGUCUGGUUAAUUCCGUUAACGAACGAGACCUUAACCUGCGAAAUAGUCACGCGAACCGGUCCGCAAGGGCUCAAAGUUCGCGGCUCGACUUCUUAGAGGGACUAUUCGCACCCGCCAGCGAAUGGAAGUUUGAGGCAAUAACAGGUCUGUGAUGCCCUUAGAUGUUCUCGGCCGCACGCGCGUUACACUGACGGAGUCAACGAGCGUUUUUCCUUGCCCGAUAGGGUUGGGUAACCUCCUGAAACUCCGUCGUGAUGGGGAUAGAUCAUUGCAAUUAUUGAUCUUGAACGAGGAAUUCCUAGUAGGCGCGAGUCAUCAACUCGCGCCGAUUACGUCCCUGCCCUUUGUACACACCGCCCGUCGCUCCUACCGAUUGAACGGUCCGGCGAGAACUCCGGAUGGUC